CCAGGAAGGCAGCAGGCGCGCAAAUUACCCAAUCCCGAUACGGGGAGGUAGUGACAAUAAAUACUGAUACGGGGCUCUUUUGGGUCGCGUAAUUGGAAUGAGAACAAUUUAAAUCCCUUAACGAGGAACAAUUGGAGGGCAAGUCUGGUGCCAGCAGCCGCGGUAAUUCCAGCUCCAAUAGCGUAUAUUAAAGUUGUUGCAGUUAAAAAGCUCGUAGUUGAACCUUGGGUCUGGCUGGCCGGUCCGCCUCACCGCGAGUACUGUCCGGCUGGACCUUUCCUUCUGGGGAACCUCAUGGCCUUCACUGGCUGUGGGGGGAACCAGGACUUUUACUGUGAAAAAAUUAGAGUGUUCAAAGCAGGCCUUUGCUCGAAUACAUUAGCAUGGAAUAAUAGAAUAGGACGUGCGGUUCUAUUUUGUUGGUUUCUAGGACCGCCGUAAUGAUUAAUAGGGAUAGUCGGGGGCGUCAGUAUUCAGCUGUCAGAGGUGAAAUUCUUGGAUUUGCUGAAUGACUAACUACU
This 521-nucleotide ribosomal RNA is filed under the name Penicillium decumbens. RNAcentral's name for it is "SSU rRNA". It matches the Rfam family "Eukaryotic small subunit ribosomal RNA", at positions 417 to 944 of the family's 1831-position model. Lineage: Eukaryota; Fungi; Ascomycota; Eurotiomycetes; Eurotiales; Aspergillaceae. The record is from RNAcentral.